Molecule: non-coding RNA, 125 nt
Filed under: unclassified sequences
Description: DUF3800-I RNA
Rfam family: DUF3800-I RNA
About the family: Actinobacteria, Firmicutes, Fusobacteria, Proteobacteria (1 example), Tenericutes (2 examples).
Source: Rfam by way of RNAcentral
UAGUAGCACAGGUAUAUGAUACACUGUUCAAACAUCUAUCCAGACAAUCAUAGCGAUUAAGCAUAAAGUAAGUACGUUGUCAAUAGUUGGGAAGCCUUAAUGUGUUAAGGCUUUUUCUUUUUCAA